CCCUUAGGUGUUCUGGGCCGCACGCGCGCUACACUGAUGCAUUCAACGAGCCUAUCCUUGACCGACAGGUCCGGGUAAUCUUUGAAUCUGCAUCGUGACGGGGAUAGAUUAUUGCAAUUAUUAAUCUUCAACGAGGAAUGCCUAGUAGGCGCAAGUCAUCAGCUUGCGUCGAUUACGUCCCUGCCCUUUGUACACACCGCCCGUCGCUCCUACCGAUUGGGUGUGCUGGUGAAAUGUUCGGAUCGGCCGUUUGUCGCGGUUUCCGCGGCUCGUGGCUGAGAAGUUCAUUAAACCCUCCCACCUAGAGGAAGGAGAAGUCGUAACA
This 325-nucleotide ribosomal RNA is filed under the name uncultured eukaryote. RNAcentral describes it as "partial 18S ribosomal RNA". It matches the Rfam family "Eukaryotic small subunit ribosomal RNA", at positions 1470 to 1796 of the family's 1831-position model. The record is from RNAcentral.